UGGGCUUUGAUCUGUUUUGGUUCUUUUUCAGUUCUAGGUGCAGAUGUUGGAGUCCCUGGACCCAAGAACUCAAAUCAUCAUAACAGGAUCCAGAAUUCCAAGCUGGGUAUUGCUGCCAAUGAAUGGGAAACAUUUAACAACUGGAUCCCCAUAAAAGGGGGAUUACGGAUGGCAUCAAUUCACGUGAAGCAAUACAGAACAAUGGAAAGAGCCACAGGAUUUAGAAUCACAAGACUUGGGUUCAAUUCAAGAUUGAUAUGCAUUGGCUUUAUGAACUUGGAUUCACAGACCCUAGAAAUCUAACCACAGACCCUUUGCAAGACCGUGGACCAAGAAGCCCUGUACUCAAGCAUGAGUAGCUAGCUAUGUCACUGGAUGUUCUUCUCUGUUGAGUCCCAUAAUAAGAAACAAUCAGCCAAAGCUGUAUCUAACUACUGAAAAACUCUUGGGUGUGUGCUGGCCCAUAACAUGAAAUCGUCUGAGAGCCUGUCCCCAGAGGGAAAUGCUCUAAUUGAGGAACCUUAGGAUUCUACUUUAACAGGAUGACCUUUCUGUCCAUCUCCCCACC
This 568-nucleotide long non-coding RNA is filed under the name Monodelphis domestica (gray short-tailed opossum). RNAcentral's name for it is "lncRNA (ENSMODG00000031074.2)". The record is from RNAcentral. Lineage: Eukaryota; Metazoa; Chordata; Mammalia; Didelphimorphia; Didelphidae.